RNAcentral lists this ribosomal RNA (873 nucleotides) under uncultured bacterium. Its description in RNAcentral is "bacterial SSU rRNA". It matches the Rfam family "Bacterial small subunit ribosomal RNA", at positions 23 to 896 of the family's 1533-position model. The record is from RNAcentral.
AAAAAGUCGAGAGUUGCGGUCGACCUAAUACAUGAAGUCGAGGGGCAUGCAUUAUCGCUUGCGAUAGAUGGCGACCGGCGAACGGGUGCGUAACGCGUAUGCAACCUACCCAUUACCGGGGGAUAGCCCGAAGAAAUUUGGAUUAAUACCCCAUAGUAUUAUAUGAUGGCAUCAUUAUUUGAUUAAAGAUUUAUUGGUAAUGGAUGGGCAUGCGUUCCAUUAGCUAGUUGGUACGGUAACGGCGUACCAAGGCGACGAUGGGUAGGGGUUCUGAGAGGAUGAUCCCCCACACUGGUACUGAGAUACGGACCAGACUCCUACGGGAGGCAGCAGUAGGGAAUAUUGGUCAAUGGGCGAGAGCCUGAACCAGCCAUGCCGCGUGCAGGACGACGGCCUUCUGGGUUGUAAACUGCUUUUAUACAGGAAUAAAAAGUGCCUGCGGGCGAAAUUGCAUGUACUGUAUGAAUAAGCACCGGCUAACUCCGUGCCAGCAGCCGCGGUAAUACGGAGGGUGCAAGCGUUGUCCGGAUUUAUUGGGUUUAAAGGGUGCGUAGGCGGUUAUUUAAGUCAGUGGUGAAAACCCUGAGCUCAACUGAGGGCUUGCCAUUGAUACUGGAUAACUUGAUUACCGUACAGGUAGGCGGAAUUUAUGGUGUAGCGGUGAAAUGCAUAGAUACCAUAAAGAACACCGAUAGCGAAGGCAGCUUACUGGAGGGUAAAUGACGCUGAUGCACGAAAGCGUGGGUAGCGAACGGGAUUAGAUACCCCGGUAGUCCACGCUGUAAACGAUGAUCACUCGAUGUGUGCGAUAGACAGUACGCGUCCAAGCGAAAGCGUUAAGUGAUCCACCUGGGGAGUACGACCGCAAGGUUG